GGUAUAGCUCAGUAGUAGGGUGCAUGCUUAGAAAGUGUGAGGCCCUGGGUUUAAUCCCCAGUGCC
RNAcentral lists this transfer RNA (65 nucleotides) under Fukomys damarensis (Damara mole-rat). It matches the Rfam family "tRNA". From Rfam's summary of the family: Transfer RNA (tRNA) molecules are approximately 80 nucleotides in length. Their secondary structure includes four short double-helical elements and three loops (D, anti-codon, and T loops). Lineage: Eukaryota; Metazoa; Chordata; Mammalia; Rodentia; Bathyergidae. The record is from Rfam by way of RNAcentral.